RNAcentral lists this small RNA (117 nucleotides) under Papio anubis (olive baboon). RNAcentral describes it as "Metazoan signal recognition particle RNA (ENSPANG00000043869.1)". The record is from Rfam by way of RNAcentral. Lineage: Eukaryota; Metazoa; Chordata; Mammalia; Primates; Cercopithecidae.
GCCGGGUGAGGUGGCUCACACCUGUAAUCCCAGCACUUUGGGAGGCCGAGGCGGGUGGAUCACCUGAGGUCAGGAGUUCAAGACCAGCCUGGCCAACAUGGUGAAACCCCGUCUCUA